This 636-nucleotide unclassified non-coding RNA is filed under the name Hevea brasiliensis (rubber tree). The record is from RNAcentral. Lineage: Eukaryota; Viridiplantae; Streptophyta; Magnoliopsida; Malpighiales; Euphorbiaceae.
UUUAAAGGUACUUCAAGGUAAAUAUAAUUAAUAAUAAAAUAUAUAGUUUCUUUAAAAAUUUUAAAUUUUAAUUAUAUUGUAUAAUUUGACAUCAUUUUAUAUAUUUUAAGGUUGCUAUUACUUGGAAAAUGCUAGCUACACUAAUUGAGAGGGAUUUCUCACCUUUUAUAGAGGGCAAUGUUAUCAUCUUAAUGAGUGGAAGGGUGAAAGACAACCACAAACAGCAGAGGAGUAUUUCAACAAAAAACACUCCAAAGCUAGAAAUGUCAUAGAGAGAUGUUUUGGUUUACUUAAAGGACGAUAGUCAAUUCUUAGGAGUCCUUCAUUCUAUCCAAUAUGAACUCAAGGACGUAUUGUUAUAACAUGUUAUUUAUUACAUAAUUUAAUAAGAAAGAUUCAUGCCAACAGAUAUGAAAGAGGAAAUUCUUGAUGAUGAAGACAAAGAGGAAGGAAAUAUUAAUGAUGAAGUUGAGUUCAUCAACCAAUUCAAACAUUUGACCAUUGGACAAAUUUUAGGAAUUCCUUAGCCCAACAAAUAUUCAAUAAUUUUAUAGCUCAUUCUGUUAGACAUUGAAUUUAUGAUGAACCAUUUUAUUGUUAUUUGAUUAUUGUAGUGUGUUAUUUUAAAGAAUUGAG